This 72-nucleotide transfer RNA is filed under the name Cordylochernes scorpioides. RNAcentral describes it as "tRNA-Thr". It matches the Rfam family "tRNA". From Rfam's summary of the family: Transfer RNA (tRNA) molecules are approximately 80 nucleotides in length. Their secondary structure includes four short double-helical elements and three loops (D, anti-codon, and T loops). Further hydrogen bonds mediate the characteristic L-shaped molecular structure. tRNAs have two regions of fundamental functional importance: the anti-codon, which is responsible for specific mRNA codon recognition, and the 3' end, to which the tRNAs corresponding amino acid is attached (by aminoacyl-tRNA synthetases). tRNAs cope with the degeneracy of the genetic code in two manners: having more than one tRNA (with a specific anti-codon) for a particular amino acid; and 'wobble' base-pairing, i.e. permitting non-standard base-pairing at the 3rd anti-codon position. Lineage: Eukaryota; Metazoa; Arthropoda; Arachnida; Pseudoscorpiones; Chernetidae. The record is from RNAcentral.
UCCAGGGUAGCCUAGUGGACAUGGCAUCUGCCCGGUAAGCGGAACACUGUGGUUCGAUUCCCAUCCCUGGAC